UCGUAACAAGGUUUCCGUAGGUGAACCUGCGGAAGGAUCAUUAUCGAGUUUUGAACGGGUUGUAGCUGGCCUCUCACGGGGCAUGUGCACGCCUGGCUCAUCCACUCUUAACCUCUGUGCACUUUAUGUAAGAAGAAAAAAAUGGUGGAAGCUUCCAGGAUCUCGCGAGGGGUCUCUGGUCGAACAAGUCGUUUUUUCUUUCUUAUGUUUUACUACAAACGCUUCAGUUAUAGAAUGUCAACUGUGUAUAACACAUUUAUAUACAACUUUCAGCAACGGAUCUCUUGGCUCUCGCAUCGAUGAAGAACGCAGCGAAAUGCGAUAAGUAAUGUGAAUUGCAGAAUUCAGUGAAUCAUCGAAUCUUUGAACGCACCUUGCACUCCUUGGUAUUCCGAGGAGUAUGCCUGUUUGAGUCUCAUGGUAUUCUCAACCCCUAAAUCUUUGUAACGAAGGUUCAGUGGGCUUGGACUUGGAGGUUUGUGUCGGCCCUCGUCGGUCGACUCCUCUGAAAUGCAUUAGCGUGAAUCUUACGGAUCGCCUUCAGUGUGAUAAUUAUCUGCGCUGUGGUGUUGAAGUAUUUAUGGUGUUCAUGCUUCGAACCGUCUCCUUGCCGAGACAAUCAUUUGACAAUCUGAGCUCAAAUCAGGUAGGACUACCCGCUGAACUUAAGCAUAUCAAUAAGCGGAGGAAAAGAAACUAACAAGGAUUCCCCUAGUAACUGCGAGUGAAGCGGGAAAAGCUCAAAUUUAAAAUCUGGCGGCUUUGGUCGUCCGAGUUGUAUUCUAGAGAAGUGUUUUCCGCGUUGGACCGUGUAUAAGUCUCUUGGAACAGAGCGUCAUAGAGGGUGAGAAUCCCGUCUUUGACACGGACUACCAAUGCUUUGUGAUACACUCUCAAAGAGUCGAGUUGUUUGGGAAUGCAGCUCAAAAUGGGUGGUAAAUUCCAUCUAAAGCUAAAUAUUGGCGAGAGACCGAUAGCGAACAAGUACCGUGAGGGAAAGAUGAAAAGCACUUUGGAAAGAGAGUUAAACAGUACGUGAAAUUGCUGAAAGGGAAACGCUUGAAGUCAGUCGCGUUAGCUAGAACUCAACCAGGCUUGCUUGGCGUAUUUUCUAGUUAACGGGCCAGCAUCAGUUUUGACCGCAGGAAAAGGGCCAGGGAAAUGUGGCAUCUUCGGAUGUGUUAUAGUCUCUGGUCGUAUUCUGUGAUUGGGACUGAGGACCGCAGCACGCGCAAGCUGUGCUUAGGAUGCUGGCGU
RNAcentral lists this ribosomal RNA (1257 nucleotides) under Irpex hydnoides. RNAcentral's name for it is "eukaryotic LSU rRNA". The stretch from base 633 to 1257 matches the Rfam family "Eukaryotic large subunit ribosomal RNA", at positions 1 to 632 of the family's 3401-position model. Lineage: Eukaryota; Fungi; Basidiomycota; Agaricomycetes; Polyporales; Irpicaceae. The record is from RNAcentral.